CAGUAGCCGCGGUAAUACGAGGGGGGCGAGCGUUGUUCGGAAUUAUUGGGCGUAAAGGGUGCGUAGGCGGUUCAGUAAGUCUUGUGUGAAAUCUUCGGGCUCAACUCGAAGUCUGCAUGAGAAACUGCUGGGCUUGAGUGUGGGAGAGGUGAGUGGAAUUCCCGGUGUAGCGGUGAAAUGCGUAGACAUCGGGAGGAACACCUGUGGCGAAAGCGGCUCACUGGACCACAACUGACGCUGAGGCACGAAAGCUAGGGGAGCAAACAGGAUUAGAUACCCCAGUAGUCCCUGUCUCUUAUAC
RNAcentral lists this ribosomal RNA (301 nucleotides) under uncultured bacterium. Its description in RNAcentral is "partial 16S ribosomal RNA". It matches the Rfam family "Bacterial small subunit ribosomal RNA", at positions 509 to 807 of the family's 1533-position model. The record is from RNAcentral.